CCUACGGGUGGCAGCAGUGGGGAAUAUUGGACAAUGGGCGAAAGCCUGAUCCAGCCAUGCCGCGUGUGUGAAGAAGGCCUUCGGGUUGUAAAGCACUUUCAGUGGGGAAGAAAGCCUUGGGGCUAAUACCCUCGAGGAAGGACAUCACCCACAGAAGAAGCACCGGCUAACUCCGUGCCAGCAGCCGCGGUAAUACGGAGGGUGCGAGCGUUAAUCGGAAUUACUGGGCGUAAAGCGCGCGUAGGCGGUCUGAUAAGCCGGUUGUGAAAGCCCCGGGCUCAACCUGGGAACAGCAUCCGGAACUGUCAGGCUAGAGUGCAGGAGAGGAAGGUAGAAUUCCCGGUGUAGCGGUGAAAUGCGUAGAGAUCGGGAGGAAUACCAGUGGCGAAGGCGGUCUUCUGGACUGACACUGACGCUGAGGUGCGAAAGCGUGGGUAGCAAACAGGAUUAGAUACCCUGGUAGUC
RNAcentral lists this ribosomal RNA (465 nucleotides) under Vreelandella stevensii. RNAcentral describes it as "partial 16S ribosomal RNA". It matches the Rfam family "Bacterial small subunit ribosomal RNA", at positions 338 to 795 of the family's 1533-position model. The record is from RNAcentral. Lineage: Bacteria; Pseudomonadati; Pseudomonadota; Gammaproteobacteria; Oceanospirillales; Halomonadaceae.